Molecule: ribosomal RNA, 558 nt
Filed under: Penicillium polonicum
Lineage: Eukaryota; Fungi; Ascomycota; Eurotiomycetes; Eurotiales; Aspergillaceae
Description: eukaryotic LSU rRNA
Rfam family: 5.8S ribosomal RNA (bases 179-331)
Source: RNAcentral
GGGCCAUCCGAAUGAGUCUUUGGGUCACCUCCCACCCGUGUUUAUUUUACCUUGUUGCUUCGGCGGGCCCGCCUUUACUGGCCGCCGGGGGGCUCACGCCCCCGGGCCCGCGCCCGCCGAAGACACCCCCGAACUCUGUCUGAAGAUUGAAGUCUGAGUGAAAAUAUAAAUUAUUUAAAACUUUCAACAACGGAUCUCUUGGUUCCGGCAUCGAUGAAGAACGCAGCGAAAUGCGAUACGUAAUGUGAAUUGCAAAUUCAGUGAAUCAUCGAGUCUUUGAACGCACAUUGCGCCCCCUGGUAUUCCGGGGGGCAUGCCUGUCCGAGCGUCAUUGCUGCCCUCAAGCCCGGCUUGUGUGUUGGGCCCCGUCCUCCGAUUCCGGGGGACGGGCCCGAAAGGCAGCGGCGGCACCGCGUCCGGUCCUCGAGCGUAUGGGGCUUUGUCACCCGCUCUGUAGGCCCGGCCGGCGCUUGCCGAUCAACCCAAAUUUUUAUCCAGGUUGACCUCGGAUCAGGUAGGGAUACCCGCUGAACUUAAGCAUAUCAAUAAGCGGAGGAA